This 238-nucleotide ribosomal RNA is filed under the name uncultured Pseudomonadota bacterium. RNAcentral's name for it is "uncultured proteobacterium partial 16S ribosomal RNA". It matches the Rfam family "Bacterial small subunit ribosomal RNA", at positions 554 to 792 of the family's 1533-position model. The record is from RNAcentral. Lineage: Bacteria; Pseudomonadati; Pseudomonadota.
UUGGGCUUAAAGCGCGUGUAGGCUGUUUUUAAGUCUGAUGUGAAAGCCCGGGGCUUAACCCCGGAAGUGCAUUGGAUACUGGGAAACUAGAGGGCGAGAGAGGAAGGCGGAAUUCCUGGUGUAGGGGUGAAAUCCGUAGAUAUCAGGAGGAACACCGGAAGCGAAGGCGGCUUUCUGGCUCGCAACUGACGCUGAGACGCGAAAGCGUGGGGAGCAAACAGGAUUAGAUACCCUUGUA